GACGAACGCUGGCGGCGUGCUUAACACAUGCAAGUCGAACGGAAAGGCCUUUUCGGAGGUACUCGAGUGGCGAACGGGUGAGUAACACGUGGGUGAUCUGCCCUGCACUCUGGGAUAAGCCUGGGAAACUGGGUCUAAUACCGGAUAGGACCGCACUUUAGUGUGUGUGGUGGAAAGUUUUUUCGGUGUAGGAUGAGCCCGCGGCCUAUCAGCUUGUUGGUGGGGUAAUGGCCUACCAAGGCGGCGACGGGUAGCCGGACUGAGAGGUUGGUCGGCCACAUUGGGCCUGAGAUACGGCCCAGACUCCUACGGGAGGCAGCAGUGGGGAAUAUUGCACAAUGGGCGCAAGCCUGAUGCAGCGACGCCGCGUGGGGGAUGACGGCCUUCGGGUUGUAAACUCCUUUCGCCAGGGACGAAGCGUUUUGUGACGGUACCUGGAGAAGAAGCACCGGCUAACUACGUG
This 463-nucleotide ribosomal RNA is filed under the name uncultured bacterium. RNAcentral's name for it is "partial 16S ribosomal RNA". It matches the Rfam family "Bacterial small subunit ribosomal RNA", at positions 28 to 507 of the family's 1533-position model. The record is from RNAcentral.